AGGUACCUAUAGCCUACGACGGGGUACGGGGUUGUNAGAGCAAGAGCCCGGAGAUGGAUUCUGAGACACGAAUCCAGGCCNUACGGGGUGCAGCAGGCGCGAAAACUUUACAAUGCGGGAAACCGUGAUAAGGGGAUCUCGAGUGCCAGCAUAUAAUGUUGGCUGUCCAGAUGCCUAAAAAGCAUCUGUUAGCAAGGGCCGGGCAAGACCGGUGCCAGCCGCCGCGGUAACACCGGCGGCCCGAGUGGUAACCGCUAUUAUUGGGUCUAAAGGGUCUGUAGCCGGCCAGGUAAGUCCCUUGGGAAAUCUGGCAGCUCAACUGUCAGGCUGCUAGGGGAUACUGUUUGGCUUGGGACCGGGAGAGGUGAGAGGUACCUUGGGGGUAGGGGUGAAAUCUUGUGAUCCCCGGGGGACCACCAGUGGCGAAGGCGUCUCACCAGAACGGGUCCGACGGUAAGGGACGAAAGCUAGGGGCACGAACCGGAUUAGAUACCCGGGUAGUCCUAGCCGUAAACGAUGCUCGCUAGGUGUCAGUCACGGUGCGACCGUGAUUGGUGCCGUAGGGAAGCCGUGAAGCGAGCCACCUGGGAAGUAUGGCCGCAAGGCUGAAACUUAAAGGAAUUGGCGGGGGAGCACUACAACGGGUGGAGCCUGCGGUUUAAUUGGAUUCAACGCCGGA
RNAcentral lists this ribosomal RNA (679 nucleotides) under uncultured archaeon. Its description in RNAcentral is "bacterial SSU rRNA". It matches the Rfam family "Archaeal small subunit ribosomal RNA", at positions 245 to 922 of the family's 1478-position model. The record is from RNAcentral.